AGAGUUUGAUCCUGGCUCAGGAUGAACGCUGGCGGCGUGCCUAAUACAUGCAAGUCGAGCGAACGGACGAGAAGCUUGCUUCUCUGAUGUUAGCGGCGGAUGGGUGAGUAACACGUGGAUAACCUACCUAUAAGACUGGGAUAACUUCGGGAAACCGGAGCUAAUACCGGAUAAUAUUUUGAACCGCAUGGUUCAAAAGUGAAAGACGGUCUUGCUGUCACUUAUAGAUGGAUCCGCGCUGCAUUAGCUAGUUGGUAAGGUAACGGCUUACCAAGGCAACGAUGCAUAGCCGACCUGAGAGGGUGAUCGGCCACACUGGAACUGAGACACGGUCCAGACUCCUACGGGAGGCAGCAGUAGGGAAUCUUCCGCAAUGGGCGAAAGCCUGACGGAGCAACGCCGCGUGAGUGAUGAAGGUCUUCGGAUCGUAAAACUCUGUUAUUAGGGAAGAACAUAUGUGUAAGUAACUGUGCACAUCUUGACGGUACCUAAUCAGAAAGCCACGGCUAACUACGUGCCAGCAGCCGCGGUAAUACGUAGGUGGCAAGCGUUAUCCGGAAUUAUUGGGCGUAAAGCGCGCGUAGGCGGUUUUUUAAGUCUGAUGUGAAAGCCCACGGCUCAACCGUGGAGGGUCAUUGGAAACUGGAAAACUUGAGUGCAGAAGAGGAAAGUGGAAUUCCAUGUGUAGCGGUGAAAUGCGCAGAGAUAUGGAGGAACACCAGUGGCGAAGGCGACUUUCUGGUCUGUAACUGACGCUGAUGUGCGAAAGCGUGGGGAUCAAACAGGAUUAGAUACCCUGGUAGUCCACGCCGUAAACGAUGAGUGCUAAGUGUUAGGGGGUUUCCGCCCCUUAGUGCUGCAGCUAACGCAUUAAGCACUCCGCCUGGGGAGUACGACCGCAAGGUUGAAACUCAAAGGAAUUGACGGGGACCCGCACAAGCGGUGGAGCAUGUGGUUUAAUUCGAAGCAACGCGAAGAACCUUACCAAAUCUUGACAUCCUUUGACAACUCUAGAGAUAGAGCCUUCCCCUUCGGGGGACAAAGUGACAGGUGGUGCAUGGUUGUCGUCAGCUCGUGUCGUGAGAUGUUGGGUUAAGUCCCGCAACGAGCGCAACCCUUAAGCUUAGUUGCCAUCAUUAAGUUGGGCACUCUAAGUUGACUGCCGGUGACAAACCGGAGGAAGGUGGGGAUGACGUCAAAUCAUCAUGCCCCUUAUGAUUUGGGCUACACACGUGCUACAAUGGACAAUACAAAGGGCAGCGAAACCGCGAGGUCAAGCAAAUCCCAUAAAGUUGUUCUCAGUUCGGAUUGUAGUCUGCAACUCGACUACAUGAAGCUGGAAUCGCUAGUAAUCGUAGAUCAGCAUGCUACGGUGAAUACGUUCCCGGGUCUUGUACACACCGCCCGUCACACCACGAGAGUUUGUAACACCCGAAGCCGGUGGAGUAACCUUUUAGGAGCUAGCCGUCGAAGGUGGGACAAAUGAUUGGGGUGAAGUCGUAACAAGGUAGCCGUAUCGGAAGGUGCGGCUGGAUCACCU
Molecule: ribosomal RNA, 1540 nt
Filed under: Staphylococcus aureus
Lineage: Bacteria; Bacillati; Bacillota; Bacilli; Caryophanales; Staphylococcaceae
Description: 16S ribosomal RNA
Rfam family: Bacterial small subunit ribosomal RNA
Source: RNAcentral